UUUUGGAUCAGACAUUAUCCUGUACAGCCUUGAUGUCCCCGUUUGAUCAACUAUGGACUAGCUCGACACCAGCUGUUUAAAACUAACUUCCUUUAUGUCAGGAUAAAUGAUGUGUUUUGGGUAUUAUGACUUUCGCCGUGUUAUCACACUUGUAUGUGCGUAAUAAUCUUUGGAGUGGUUAAGGCAGACAUUUUACACUGGUGUGGGUUAGUAACCUGGUAGCCUUACUUGUCUGAAGAGGAUUCUUUCAAGGGGACACGGACGAAACCUAAUAAGCGGUCCCAACAGUGAGCAGCGAGCACCGCGUCAUGUGAUGUGAAGUGUGUCUGUCGACCCUAAAGCCUUGACCUCUCACCCCUGACCCCGUGAGGUCACAGAUGGUCCAUAUCUGGCCCGACCCCAGGAGACUUCCUCCUCCAUCCUGAUCCUCAACAUCAGUCAGUGAGCAGUGUGUUGUGUUCCGGCUGAACGUUCCAACGGCAUCCUGACCACCACCUAACACCACCCACCACCUUGGGCAUGCCUCAGCCGGGCAUGAAUGGGAUGGAGCCUGCGUUUGGCGAGGCGUAUGGGAGCCGUGGCUGUCUCCUCAGCCCCUACCCC
Oncorhynchus keta (chum salmon) is the source of this 603-nucleotide long non-coding RNA. RefSeq lists it as uncharacterized. The transcript has 3 exons. Lineage: Eukaryota; Metazoa; Chordata; Actinopteri; Salmoniformes; Salmonidae. The record is from RefSeq and is a predicted model, not a curated record.